AAGCAAGAAGCGAAAAAUCGCGGUCAGUUUCGACCUGAUUAAUAGGUAUAAAUUUACCCUUACUUU
Molecule: transfer RNA, 66 nt
Filed under: Glyptotermes sp. A TB-2014
Lineage: Eukaryota; Metazoa; Arthropoda; Insecta; Blattodea; Kalotermitidae
Description: tRNA-Arg
Source: RNAcentral